This 73-nucleotide transfer RNA is filed under the name Aplysina cauliformis (row pore rope sponge). RNAcentral describes it as "tRNA-Leu". It matches the Rfam family "tRNA". From Rfam's summary of the family: Transfer RNA (tRNA) molecules are approximately 80 nucleotides in length. Their secondary structure includes four short double-helical elements and three loops (D, anti-codon, and T loops). Further hydrogen bonds mediate the characteristic L-shaped molecular structure. tRNAs have two regions of fundamental functional importance: the anti-codon, which is responsible for specific mRNA codon recognition, and the 3' end, to which the tRNAs corresponding amino acid is attached (by aminoacyl-tRNA synthetases). tRNAs cope with the degeneracy of the genetic code in two manners: having more than one tRNA (with a specific anti-codon) for a particular amino acid; and 'wobble' base-pairing, i.e. permitting non-standard base-pairing at the 3rd anti-codon position. Lineage: Eukaryota; Metazoa; Porifera; Demospongiae; Verongiida; Aplysinidae. The record is from RNAcentral. RNAcentral also lists the same sequence under 1 other name.
UUGAGUGUGGUGAAAAGGUAAACACAUUUGACUUAGGAUCAAAAUUUUGCGGGUUCAAGUCCCGUCACUCUUA